GGGCCCCCACCAGCCCGCCGAACCUGCUUCUUUUGCUGUCUUGAAUCCCGCCCUCUUCUCCUCGCCCAACUUCUCCCAAACCCGCCUUCCCAGGUAAAGACGCUCGUCACUUGUCCGGCUCCUUGCCCAGGGCUCCCCGAUCUCGCUCUCCACUCCAGCCCCGGAUUGGUGCAGGGGGCUCUGCCGCACGGGGCAGGCGUGUGAGGCCGAUGGGGCCGCGCGUGCACCUGCAGCGCCCGCCGGCUUUCCCCCGCCGGCCGGGACCGCACGCACACACCCUCGCCACUCAGGGCCCCCGCAGGCCCCGCCGUCACCGCAUCCCCAACUCAGGACUCUCGCCCUUCUCCGGAGACGGCCCCACAGUCGGGCAGUCUGACAGUUACAGGGGGGCGAGGUUUUGCAAAAACUCCUAGCCCGGUCUUUCCAGUUCCCACUCCUCAGCCUUGGCUUAGUGAAAGGUGGGGGUUCGGGCAGGAGCG
Molecule: long non-coding RNA, 479 nt
Filed under: Homo sapiens (human)
Lineage: Eukaryota; Metazoa; Chordata; Mammalia; Primates; Hominidae
Description: non-protein coding lnc-NAA15-4:1
Source: RNAcentral